RNAcentral lists this ribosomal RNA (253 nucleotides) under uncultured bacterium. RNAcentral describes it as "partial 16S ribosomal RNA". It matches the Rfam family "Bacterial small subunit ribosomal RNA", at positions 524 to 776 of the family's 1533-position model. The record is from RNAcentral.
UACAGAGGGGGCAAGCGUUGUUCGGAAUUACUGGGCGUAAAGGGCGCGUAGGCGGCCUGGUAAGUCGGACGUGAAAUCCCUCGGCUCAACCGGGGAACUGCGUCCGAUACUGGCGGGCUUGAAUUCGGGAGAGGGAUGUGGAAUUCCAGGUGUAGCGGUGAAAUGCGUAGAUAUCUGGAGGAACACCGGUGGCGAAGGCGGCAUCCUGGACCGACAUUGACGCUGAGGCGCGAAAGCCAGGGGAGCAAACGGG